Molecule: ribosomal RNA, 668 nt
Filed under: Gymnosporangium lianhuaense
Lineage: Eukaryota; Fungi; Basidiomycota; Pucciniomycetes; Pucciniales; Gymnosporangiaceae
Description: partial 28S ribosomal RNA
Rfam family: Eukaryotic large subunit ribosomal RNA
Source: RNAcentral
ACCCGCUGAACUUAAGCAUAUCAAUAAGCGGAGGAAAAGAAACUAACAAGGAUUCCCCCAGUAACGGCGAGUGAAGAGGGAUCAGCCCAAAUUUGUAAUCUGGCUCUUUCAGAGUCUGAGUUGUAAUUUUAAGAACUGUUUUCUGCUCUGGACCAUGUACAAGUCUGUUGAAAUGCAGCAUCAUUGAGGGUGAGAAUCCUGUUUAUGAUAUGGACUACCAGGGCUCUAUGAUACAGUGUCUAAGAGUCGAGUUGUUUGGGAAUGCAGCUCAAAGUGGGUGGUAAAUUCCAUCUAAGGCUAAAUAUUGGUGAGAGACCGAUAGCAAACAAGUACCGUGAGGGAAAGAUGAAAAGAACUUUGGAAAGAGAGUUAACAGUACGUGAAAUUGUUAAAAGGGAAACAGUUGAAGUUAGACUUGUUGUUGUUGGUUCAGCUCUUUAAGGGUGUUUUCUGAUAAUUAACAAACCAACAUCAAUCUUUGGGUGUUGGAUAAGGGUCAUUGAAAUGUAGCAGUUUUGGCUGUGUUAUAGUCUUUGACUUGGAUACAAUGCUUAGGAUUGAGGAUUGCAGUAAGCCAUUUAUUUGGUGGGACAAUUUAUUGUUCUUCUUACUGAGGAUGUUGGUGCAAUAGCUUUAAUUGACCCGUCUUGAAACACGGACCAAGGAGA